UUGGACCACAGUAGAGUUCAGACCUCUCAGGCUGUUAACAACCAUUCUGUGGGAAGACAAACCAGAAAAAAACUUGAUGAAGUGAUGUUUUAAUAUCUGUUAACAAAUGUGUGAAGGAAGAAAAACGAAAGAGAAAAACUGAUGCUAAAGGAAGCCAACUGAAUCAGCGCCUGGCUUUUUAGCAUUACCUAUUGGGCUGUGCUAUCUAUAACAAGUUCUUAACAUUUGGAAGAAGAAUAGUUUUAUCCAUGGAUAUUCGUGGUUUUAUCGUCUAAUAAUCUGCUAAUUACCCUCAGAAACUCUCAAGGAGUUGGCGGCUGCGUGAAGAAGCUUGUUGCGCAGUCAUCUGCUAUCAGUUCUUUAUCAAAUCGCAAGAAGGCAGCAAAGAGACAAUAGAAAUGGGCAACGGACACAGUCUUCAUGCCCACAAAGUGUGUGCAGACUCCCUGAGUAGUGCAGUGUUUCCAGAGCCCAGCUGGGACAAUGUCAACUCGGAGGAACUGGAGAUGACAGAUUUCUCAAGAGGUUCGAACCCUCAUCACUCGUUUGGUGACGGUAGAAAAGACCCCACAACGACUUGUGUCCAGGACCUUCAAGACUUUGAAGACGACGAAGAAUUUGAGGAGGAAUUAAGCUGGCUGAUGUCAUCAGAAGAUUAUCUCGUGGCUUGUUGCUUAGCGCCUGACAGUAAGGAGGCCUGGCAGGACGGGCAGUUUCAAGAAGAGGAUAUGCUUGUAGAUGAGGACGACGAUGAAGAUGAAGAUUUUGAUAACUUGUCCGAUAAACACCGAACGCUUUUUCAGCUAAGCCAAAAGACGGGAAAGUACAGUAUUGACGACAAUGGGUUUCCUCCCAAACGGCGGUUUUCAACUACAGAACCCAGUUCGGGUCUAAAACAAACCUGGUGUUCACCACUUCCGAGUCGUUCUCUGGUCUGGAAGUGGAUGCUUCCGGCUGGACAGACAACUACUCGACCGCAGAAAACGACAAUGAUCGACAUGGCUUCACAAUGUCCAACAGGUCAGCAGCGAGUCGGAACAGUUCAGGUCUCUUGGACAGUGGCAGAAGGUCAGGUGAGGAGAAGACCAUACGCGAACUGCGCGAUGUGGACUUGUUGAAUCAGAACGAAAUUCACGACUUGGUUCAGGAUGAGAUGGAACGCGCGGAGGUGGACUGGCUCUGUGAGCCGGAGUGGAACAACCAGGAGAUGGAGAUCUUCUGGCACCUGCUGGAGCCACACUUCAAGAAGCUGCUGCAGGUGAGGGACUGGAGACAGCUGCCGGAUCCCUGUCUCCCCAUCGUGUUUUUGGACCCUGGGGACAGUCAUCUCCUGGACAGGAGCCUGUUGCACAUCCAGUGGCACAUUUGGAAAGGACACUACAGUCAGGCAGUCUCGGACUUCCGCUUUGUCAAAGGUCACUUUGAAUGCAGCUCCAGGUCAUUGUUUCUGUGCAAGGACAGGAGGGACGACAUCGAAAACCUGAAACUUGUAUUCCGAAAAAAGCGCCUACAAAAUUUCGGUUAUGGAUGUAAGUCUACCGGAAACACUGUCAGAACAGAUUGUCACAGGUCCUCAGCCGAGGAAACAGAUGUUGCACAUCAGAGCACAGACUGUCACAAGUCUUCAACUGAGGAGACAAAACUCUCGUUGCUGCUACAUUACCUUAGUCUCUGCAUGAGAUGGUCAUGAAAAUGCAGUAUAUAAUACAACAUCUUGCACAAUGAUACAAAACCCGCCGCAAGAUUGGACGGAAAUGGACAAGAAAGAGGAAGAAACUUUCUCUAUCAGGAAGCUGGAACUUGAAUCGGAAAAGGAUAUCCGAUGUGAAUUGUAAUUAUGUGCUUGGGAAAUCCUCUCAUGAGGGAGGAGGAUGCGGAGAUAUAGACAGAAACACUGUGUCUACCAGGAUUGAAAAUGAUGUGUUUGAUUGUAAUUGUAUUCGACAAAAAUUCCGCUGUUGAUACUCUGAACCUCAAAAACGGAUACCUCAUUUGUUGAGGUAAAGAAUGUGAAACUGCGGAAAGUCUUUUAAUGAAAAUAAUAACAAUAAACAAUUACUUUUGUAUGAUUAACUGUGUUAGAAAAACAACUACGUGUACUUUACAUUCUGUACAAGCAGCGCUUAUGUUAGAGAGAAGGCAGAAGAAAACAUGUUUAUAUUUUAUUAUCCUGGGUGUGAAGCUGUUUUUUGAUCUUCUGAGUGUGAAGCUGUUCGUACCAACGUCUUAUCGCUGAUGAAGGCCGCCAUUCCUCUCACGAACAGCAUCCUACAGAGAACAGUUCCUGGGUUGGGAUUACAUCCUCCUGGCGGUGUCUGGCCGCGAGAUAACUCCAGUGACCGUGAAAGUGUUGGCGUCUGUCUAAUCUACACUAGACAUCGGCGAAGUUCCACAGGAAGGAAGAGAGGAAAUGUGGAGUCACCCCACUAAUAAUUCAAUUAACGGAGGCGUUCACAAUCUUCUAUUUUGUGAGCUCACGAAAUGAGAUCGUCUCCAAUCAACAGGUCCUCAGACUGAUGUGGUUGGACUUGUGCUGUGUGGAUGCCGGAAGGACUUUGAUGUUAACAUGAAAGAAAGCAUUCACGACUGGUAAAUUUAGCCGAGAAUAAAGCUCAUCUCACCUCCGACAAUAUUAUAGUCGUUUUGAUACAGUUUACACAAUAUUCGGUAUGAAAUACGCAGUGCAAUUCAAUGCAAAAUGACUAAAGGUCAUAGGGCAAUAUCAUUAAUUGUAAAUAAGUAAUUGAUUCUCAUAAUACUUCUUCUGUUCCUCUUUCGUAUGCUUGCAUGAAGUGCAUGAACACACAGACGUACACACGAGAACACGCAAACACAUAAACAUGUCCGCAAACAUAACGAGAACGCGUAGUCAUCUUUUGAUGAUGAACGAUGAAAGCCCAGUCGAUAAUAUUAAUUUAGUAUAUUUACUGCUUAUGUCUAUCAUCCUAUCAUCGUCAGUGGGACCUUGCCCACUCAUCUCUUCACACACUUGCAUGCCCACUCACACACGCGCGAGCUAAUUCUCAUUCCAUUUUGUAUUUACAUUUUGUAUUUACUGUUUUUAUUGUAUAUAAUAAUACUGGGUAUUUGUCAUGUGCAGACCAAUAAUGAUAAUGUUUGUAAAUUUUGAUAUUUUUCUAACAGAAAUAAAAGA
RNAcentral lists this unclassified non-coding RNA (3154 nucleotides) under Pomacea canaliculata. Its description in RNAcentral is "uncharacterized LOC112555105, transcript variant X2". Lineage: Eukaryota; Metazoa; Mollusca; Gastropoda; Architaenioglossa; Ampullariidae. The record is from RNAcentral.